Molecule: ribosomal RNA, 427 nt
Filed under: uncultured Acidobacterium sp.
Lineage: Bacteria; Pseudomonadati; Acidobacteriota; Terriglobia; Terriglobales; Acidobacteriaceae
Description: bacterial SSU rRNA
Rfam family: Bacterial small subunit ribosomal RNA
Source: RNAcentral
AACGCGAAGAACCUUACCUGGGCUCGAAAUGUACAGGAAUGCGGUAGAAAUAUCGCCGUCCAGCAAUGGACCUGUAUAUAGGUGCUGCAUGGCUGUCGUCAGCUCGUGUCGUGAGAUGUUGGGUUAAGUCCCGCAACGAGCGCAACCCUUAUUACCAGUUGCUACCAUUUAGUUGAGCACUCUGGUGAGACCGCCUCGGAUAACGGGGAGGAAGGCGGGGAUGACGUCAAGUCCUCAUGGCCUUUAUGUCCAGGGCUACACACGUGCUACAAUGGCCGGUACAAACCGUCGCAAACCCGUGAGGGGGAGCUAAUCGGAAAAAGCCGGCCUCAGUUCGGAUUGGAGUCUGCAACUCGACUCCAUGAAGCUGGAAUCGCUAGUAAUCGCGGAUCAGAACGCCGCGGUGAAUACGUUCCCGGGCCUUGUA